UGCAGCUGUUUAUUGUCCAUCCC
RNAcentral lists this non-coding RNA (23 nucleotides) under Arabidopsis thaliana (thale cress). Lineage: Eukaryota; Viridiplantae; Streptophyta; Magnoliopsida; Brassicales; Brassicaceae. The record is from RNAcentral.